CUCUCUCCUGCCUCCUGUCUGCGUCUCUCCCUGAGAGCCCCAACCCCUCCCUCACCUUCUGCGUGAAGACCCACGACCACCUCUACUACAUGGUGGCCCCCUCGCCCGAGGCUAUGCGCAUCUGGAUGGACGUGAUCGUCACCGGGGCGGAGGGCUACACCCAGUUCCUGAACUGAUGUCCCCUACAUAGCCCUGGACCCACAGGGCCGCCCGCUGCCUUCUUCAUGGAACUCUGGCUCAUAGUGGACCCCCCUCUCCUCACUCCAAACGCCCACUCCGUCUCACUCUCUGCCCCCACCCCAGCCACACCGUCUCACUCUCCUCUUCACUCCGCCUACGCCAAGAGUCAGCGCCGGAAGGCACUGGACCUGAACCUGGGUCUAGACCUGGACCUUGAGCUUGACCUGAAACCGGACCUGGGCCUCGACCUAGAGCUGGUGCUGCCAGACUAUAUUUGAAGCUCCUCUUUCUAAAACAAUGGGUGCCACCUUACAACCUUUUUAUUAUAUAUGGAUUAACAGUCCGAUACAUACAUUGAUCCAUUUCUUCCCUUCUUCAGUGUCUGGCUCAAGUGGUACUUUCACUUUUGUUUCAUUAAUUGGUCAUCAAGGCUCAAAUGUUGUUGGUGUUUCUCUGUUAUGAUUGACAGGUCAGUUACGCUCGUGUAAUUAGAAAGUUAUGAAAAACUACAUUUCACAUGUAUUUUAUUAAGAGGUUUAGUAUGUAAGGGUUGGAUAAUUAAUUUCUACAUGUUCUACUUGUUUGUUUGUAUUUAAAAAGGGAGCCAACAGAGGACACACAAACACAUUUUAUAUAAACCAAAAUGGAUCCAAACUUUCUAAAAAAGAUGGGUUCCAUUGAAAAUCAAACAGUGUUGUACGAGGGAAACAGAUAUUUGUAUUUUGUCAUUUAAAGAUAUUAUUGUGGCGAAAUUUAAACUAUGGUAGUGAUGAAUUAAUAUAAUAUGUUAGAAAGAGAAUAAAAUGUAGAACAAG
This is a long non-coding RNA of Gadus morhua (Atlantic cod), 995 nucleotides long. RefSeq lists it as uncharacterized. Lineage: Eukaryota; Metazoa; Chordata; Actinopteri; Gadiformes; Gadidae. The record is from RefSeq and is a predicted model, not a curated record. The transcript has 2 exons.